RNAcentral lists this transfer RNA (74 nucleotides) under Dehalococcoidales bacterium. RNAcentral describes it as "tRNA-Gln". It matches the Rfam family "tRNA". Rfam says of the family: Transfer RNA (tRNA) molecules are approximately 80 nucleotides in length. The record is from RNAcentral. Lineage: Bacteria; Bacillati; Chloroflexota; Dehalococcoidia; Dehalococcoidales. RNAcentral also lists the same sequence under 1 other name.
UGGGGAUUAGUCUAGUGGUAGGACAGCAGACUCUGGAUCUGUGAGGAGAGGUUCGAAUCCUCUAUCCCCAGCCA